UACAGAGGGUGCGAGCGUUGUUCGGAAUUAUUGGGCGUAAAGGGCGCGUAGGCGGUGCGGUAAGUCACCUGUGAAAUCUCCUGGCUCAACUGGGAGCUUGCAGGCGAAACUGCCGUGCUGGAGUGUGGGAGAGGUGCGUGGAAUUCCUGGUGUAGCGGUGAAAUGCGUAGAUAUCUGGAGGAACACCGGUGGCGAAGGCGGCAUCCUGGACCAAUACUGACACUGAGGAGCGAAAGCCAGGGGAGCAAACGGG
This 253-nucleotide ribosomal RNA is filed under the name uncultured bacterium. RNAcentral describes it as "partial 16S ribosomal RNA". It matches the Rfam family "Bacterial small subunit ribosomal RNA", at positions 524 to 776 of the family's 1533-position model. The record is from RNAcentral.